This 253-nucleotide ribosomal RNA is filed under the name uncultured bacterium. RNAcentral's name for it is "partial 16S ribosomal RNA". It matches the Rfam family "Bacterial small subunit ribosomal RNA", at positions 524 to 776 of the family's 1533-position model. The record is from RNAcentral.
GACAGAGGGGGCAAGCGUUGCUCGGAAUCACUGGGCGUAAAGGGCGCGUAGGCGGGAGGCCAAGUCGGUCGUGAAAUCGCCGGGCUCAACCCGGCGGGGUCGGCCGAAACUGGUUUUCUUGAGGGAGGCAGAGGAGUCUGGAAUUCCCGGUGUAGCGGUGAAAUGUGUAGAGAUCGGGAGGAACACCGGUGGCGAAGGCGGGACUCUGGGCCUACCCUGACGCUGAGGCGCGAAGGCGUGGGGAGCAAACGGG